RNAcentral lists this ribosomal RNA (3330 nucleotides) under Martelella lutilitoris. RNAcentral's name for it is "23S ribosomal RNA". It matches the Rfam family "Bacterial large subunit ribosomal RNA". The record is from RNAcentral. Lineage: Bacteria; Pseudomonadati; Pseudomonadota; Alphaproteobacteria; Hyphomicrobiales; Aurantimonadaceae.
GAUCAAGUGUCUUAAGGGCAUUUGGUGGAUGCCUUGGUAUGCACAGGCGAUGAAGGACGUGAUACGCUGCGAAAAGCCGUGGGGAGCUGCGAAUAAGCUUUGAUCCAUGGAUAUCCGAAUGGGGAAACCCACCUUAGAUAUCUAGAAAAUCAUUCCGGUUGGAAUGAUUUGUCUGGAAUUAUUUGAUCUCACGCCCCGUACCGCAGGUCUUCGACCUGCUGGGGCUGCGAUGGCGCGCCGCAUCAGCGGCGACGGCCGGUCGGCCUUGCGGUGCUUAGCACCGAAUUCUUUUUCCACGUUGGUUUGGGAAAUGAAAUCCGAAGGAGCCACGCUCCUGAGGCAAGCGCGACUGCGCGUCGGCCAUUUUUGGCCGCCCCGUCCGGAGCGAAGCGAUCGAAGAUCGCGACAGCGUGAGGACAAAACAGAUCAGUCGGGUUGCCGAUAGGCAACCGGAAUGGUUUCUAGAUAUCGCUAAAAGGUAUCUUAAUCUGAAUACAUAGGGUUAAGAAGCGAACGCGGGGAACUGAAACAUCUAAGUACCCGUAGGAAAGGACAUCAAUCGAGACUCCGCAAGUAGUGGCGAGCGAACGCGGAUGAGGCCAGUGGCAAUGAUGAAUGAAGCAGAACAGGUUGGGAAGCCUGGCGAGAUGGGUGAUAGCCCCGUAUGCGUAGAACAGUCAUUGUCCUUGAGUAGGGCGGGACACGUGAAAUCCUGUUCGAACAUGGGGCGACCACGCUCCAAGCCUAAGUACUCGUGCAUAACCGAUAGCGAACCAGUACCGUGAGGGAAAGGUGAAAAGCACCCCGACAAGGGGAGUGAAAGAGAACCUGAAACCGGAUGCCUACAAACAGUCGGAGCCCGUUCUUCAAAUUCUUCGAAUUUGAGAACGUUUUUUAUGUCUCGCGCCCCGUACCGCAGGUCUUCGACCUGCUGGGGCUGCGACGGCGCGCCGCAUAAGCGGCGACGGCCGGUCGGCCUACGGGCGCCAAUUGGCGUCGUUGUAGCGCGACCGCGCGUCGGCCAUUAUUGGCCGCCCCGUCCGGAGCGAAGCGAUCUAGGAUCGCGACAGCGUGAGGACAGAAGAUACGGCGAACAAAUGCGAAGCAUUUGAUGAGCGGGUGACGGCGUACCUUUUGUAUAAUGGGUCAACGACUUAGUGUAUCUAGCAAGCUUAAGCCGGUAGGUGGAGGCGCAGCGAAAGCGAGUCUUAAUAGGGCGAUUGAGUUAGAUGCAUUAGACCCGAAACCGAGUGAUCUAGCCAUGAGCAGGUUGAAGGUUGGGUAACACCAACUGGAGGACCGAACCCGCAUCUGUUGCAAUAGAUUGGGAUGACUUGUGGCUAGGGGUGAAAGGCCAAUCAAACUCGGAGAUAGCUGGUUCUCCGCGAAAUCUAUUUAGGUAGAGCGUUGAAUGAAUACCCUCGGGGGUAGAGCACUGGAUGGGCUAUGGGGACUCACCGUCUUACUGAUCCUAACCAAACUGCGAAUACCGAGGAGUACUGUUCAGCAGACACACGGCGGGUGCUAACGUCCGUCGUGAAAAGGGCAACAACCCUGACCUCCAGCUAAGGUCCCCAAGUCAUGGCUAAGUGGGAAAGGAUGUGAGGAUCCCAAAACAACCAGGAUGUUGGCUUAGAAGCAGCCAUCAUUUAAAGAAAGCGUAACAGCUCACUGGUCUAAAUAAGGGUCUUUGCGCCGAAAAUGUACCGGGGCUCAAGCCAUGCACCGAAGCUGAGGAUGUGGAUUUAUCCACGUGGUAGCGGAGCGUUCCGUAGGCUGAUGAAGGGAGACCCGUGAGGGCUCCUGGAGGUAUCGGAAGUGCGAAUGUUGACAUGAGUAACGAUAAAGAGGGUGAGAGACCCUCUCGCCGAAAGACCAAGGGUUCCUGCUUAAAGUUAAUCUGAGCAGGGUUAGCCGGCCCCUAAGACGAGGCGGAAACGCGUAGUCGAUGGGAACCACGUUAAUAUUCGUGGGCCAGGCGGUGGUGACGGAUUGCACAAAUCGUACAUUCUUAUUGGAUUGAGUGUGCGGUGGAGCGGUUCCAGGAAAUAGCCCCGUCGUGAGACCGUACCCGAAACCGACACAGGUGGUCAGGUAGAGUAUACCAAGGCGCUUGAGAGAACUGCGUUGAAGGAACUCGGCAAAUUGCACGCGUAACUUCGGAAGAAGCGUGACCCUUUGAUACGCAAGUAUCGGAGGGUGGCACAGACCAGGGGGUAGCGACUGUUUAUCAAAAACACAGGGCUCUGCGAAGUCUUUAAGACGACGUAUAGGGUCUGACGCCUGCCCGGUGCUGGAAGGUUAAGAGGAGAUGUGCAAGCAUUGAAUCGAAGCCCCAGUAAACGGCGGCCGUAACUAUAACGGUCCUAAGGUAGCGAAAUUCCUUGUCGGGUAAGUUCCGACCUGCACGAAUGGCGUAACGACUUCCCCGCUGUCUCCAACGCAGACUCAGUGAAAUUGAAUUCCCCGUGAAGAUGCGGGGUUCCUGCGGUCAGACGGAAAGACCCCGUGCACCUUUACUAUAGCUUUACACUGGCAUUCGCCAAGGCAUGUGUAGGAUAGGUGGUAGGCUUUGAAGCAGGGACGCCAGUUCUUGUGGAGCCAUCCUUGAAAUACCACCCUUAUCUUCGUGGAUGUCUAACCGCGAUCCGUGAUCCGGAUCCGGGACAGUGUAUGGUGGGUAGUUUGACUGGGGCGGUCGCCUCCUAAAGAGUAACGGAGGCGCGCGAUGGUGGGCUCAGACCGGUCGGAAAUCGGUCGUCGAGUGCAAUGGCAUAAGCCCGCCUGACUGCGAGACUGACAAGUCGAGCAGAGACGAAAGUCGGUCAUAGUGAUCCGGUGGUCCCGCGUGGAAGGGCCAUCGCUCAACGGAUAAAAGGUACGCCGGGGAUAACAGGCUGAUGACCCCCAAGAGUCCAUAUCGACGGGGUUGUUUGGCACCUCGAUGUCGGCUCAUCGCAUCCUGGGGCUGGAGCAGGUCCCAAGGGUUUGGCUGUUCGCCAAUUAAAGCGGUACGUGAGCUGGGUUCAGAACGUCGUGAGACAGUUCGGUCCCUAUCUGCCGUGGGUGUAGGAAUAUUGACAGGAUCUGUCCCUAGUACGAGAGGACCGGGAUGGACGUAUCUCUGGUGGACCUGUUGUGGCGCCAGCCGCAUAGCAGGGUAGCUAUAUACGGAAUGGAUAACCGCUGAAGGCAUCUAAGCGGGAAACCAACCUGAAAACGAGUGUUCCCUAUCAGAGCCGUUGUAGACGACAACGUUGAUAGGCCGGGUGUGGAAGCGCAGCAAUGUGUGAAGCUUACCGGUACUAAUCGCUCGAUCGGCUUGAUCGU